Molecule: long non-coding RNA, 1354 nt
Organism: Ictalurus punctatus (channel catfish)
Lineage: Eukaryota; Metazoa; Chordata; Actinopteri; Siluriformes; Ictaluridae
Source: Ensembl
GUCUGCUGAGGGAGAUGGGGUGUCUUAAGUUCAUACUAAUGUAAGGGGGGAAUUGGUGUAUUAUUGGAGUUAGCUUGGUCAUUAGGGUCAUUAUCUGAAUUUGCAGUAUGUAUCUUUCAUGUAUGGUCUUAAAUUAGAUUUUAUAAAACCGACUGACUCUUCAGGUUCAAUAGAAAAAAUAUCUGUGGGUUACACCCUCAUUAUCAUGCUCACUCCAUAUUGUACCAAUGGAUUUGGGAGAAGGUACAACAAGAUACUAUACUCAAGUUAAUGACCAACACUUUAAAAAAUUUACUGACUGAUUUCUUUUGGUACAUUUCUGUAUUUUUUAACGCGAGUUACCUGUAUUGUUUUUUUAUACACACUAAGGUGCUAAACUAGAGCAAGACUGGAGUUUUACCUGUAUAUGACAUUUCCAUGAGAUGGUACAUAUCAGCAGAAACCAUUCAGGGUUUAAUGAAGCCUGAUUUUAUCUCAGUGUCAAUCCUAGUCAGGUUUAAUGUCAGGCUUCAUGAUUCAAAUAAAUAAAUAAAUAAAGUCCCAAGUUUAUCAUCAUGGUUUUACUUAAUUAACACAGGGAACCAGUCACACAACAGCUUCUUCUAUGAAUCACAGACAAACAAAAAAAAAAAAUCAGUAAUUAAUCAGAGUUCACUUCUGCUUGGAUACAUGCUUAAGAGUUGGCAAUGCGUUUCAAGUUAAACUUUCAUAUUAAAUGAUUAUUAAAAGGUAUGUUUAUGUACUUAUUAUAAACAACAGAAUGAGCACAACUGAUAAGUUGUUUUCUUAUACACUCUAAUUAGAUGUAGUCACAAAAUUUUCUAAUUCCAUGAAGCUGAAAUCAGUAUUUUCAAAUGGAUGAAAUCCAUUACUUUUUGUCAACUUCAUUGUUAGUACAAUAAAUCGGGUUGUGGUCAAUUGAAUUUAUGUCACCGGUGUUUGUUUUUAUUAUUAACAUACACAACAUAAGAUGAUGAACUGUUCACCAAGUCAUGUUUUUGAGAAACAGCAUAAAUUUGCACUGUUAAACCGGAUUCGUUCAUUCCACUCAAAAAAUUUGAGGAAACUAAUUACCUCAAAAUUUUUAAGUUGAUAAAUCAAUUUCUUUAAGCCAAAUACACUUAAAUAUAACAAAAAUGUAACUGAAACUUGUUAUAGUUAAAUGUCUUUGGCUUAAAGAAAUUGAUUUAUCAACUUAAUAAUUGAGGUAAUUAGUUUCCUCAAAUUUUUGCGUGUGUGUGGGGGGCACUUUAUUCUGCAUGAUUGUUGAGAUCACACACAAUCACACACACAAAGAACCCAAUUUACAGUCUUAGCUUACAACAUAUUGAAUUUCAUGCUGAAUUUAUUACUG